Sander lucioperca (pikeperch) is the source of this 188-nucleotide long non-coding RNA. RefSeq lists it as uncharacterized. The transcript has 3 exons. Lineage: Eukaryota; Metazoa; Chordata; Actinopteri; Perciformes; Percidae. The record is from RefSeq and is a predicted model, not a curated record.
UGCAAACAUUAGUUGGACGUCUCAGAAGAGCAUAGGAAGCCAUGCAGUCUUGCUAGCCUUUAUAUCUCCUUACUACUGGAUGCCUUAGCAGAGCUGCCAAGCACCCCGUGUAUCAUAGUUAUGGAUGAAGGAAGAUACAAGAUGUCAGUGGAUGAAGUCACAGUUAACAUCAUUGGCUGUCCACUGGU